AUUCACACCGAAACUUGCUUAGCCUAGUGGUAUCUCCUUUAAGCUAUUUCUAAGAGCUCCAAGGUUCUAUCCCUCAUAGAGGCAUCUUCAAGGGUAACAAUGUGUUCUCUCGUUGCCAAAUGUCCGCUCUUGUUUAUCGUUCAAUCCUUCUUCACACGCCUAAAAGCCUGUCCUUGCACAUCUGGGGAUUCACAUAUACGCACCCAUGUAUACCUUCAUCCCCCAGUGAUACGUGUCUCUUUUAUCUUUUAUACGAGGGUAGGGUCAUAGGUUAGUAUGUACCUGUUCCUUAGGGGUUUUUUAUUCUCAUGGCGCGUUAGGCGCAUAUACAUGGUCCUUUUCUUACACUCUUUAUAUUCAUGUUGUAGAUAUUUAAUUUUAAUUUGUAAAUUAAAUAUCAUUAAAUUAAUUAAUCUUAACUAAAAUAUGAAUUA
Humulus lupulus (European hop) is the source of this 434-nucleotide long non-coding RNA. RefSeq lists it as uncharacterized. The transcript is spliced from 2 exons. The record is from RefSeq and is a predicted model, not a curated record. NCBI's taxonomy places the organism in Eukaryota, Viridiplantae, Streptophyta, Magnoliopsida, Rosales, Cannabaceae.